CAAUAGCGUAUAUUAAAGCUGUUGCGGUUAAAAAGCUCGUAGUUGGAUUUCUGUCAAGGACAACUGGUCCGCCCUCCGGGUGAGCACAUAGUUUGGUCUUGGCAUCUUGCUGGAAGCUGUUGCUGCACUUGGCUGUGUGGCGCAGCGUCCAGCACUUUCACUUUGAGGAAAUUGGGGUGUUUCAAGCAGGCACAUGCCUUUGGACACAGUAGCAUGGAAUAAUUAGAUUGGGCUUUUGCUCCAAUUUGUCGGUUUCUGGAGCUGAGGUGAGAAUUAAUGGGGAUUGUUGGGGGCAUCCGAAUUUAGCCGUCAGAGGUGAAAUUCUUGGAUCUGCUAAAGACGGACAACUGCGAAAGCGUUUGCCCAGGAUGUUUUCAUUGA
Molecule: ribosomal RNA, 381 nt
Filed under: uncultured eukaryote
Lineage: Eukaryota
Description: partial 18S ribosomal RNA
Rfam family: Eukaryotic small subunit ribosomal RNA
Source: RNAcentral